AACGCUCUUAACACCCUACAAGCAGGUAUGUGCUUACCAGCAAACUAAAGUAAAUGGAAAUUAAGAAGCAUAUUCACCACCAGCAAGGUGCUGCUGACCUACAAGGCUUCAGAUGGUCAGAUAAAGUACCUGAUGCUGAAAAACAGGAAAUUGAAUCGUGUCUCCAAAAUGUGCCUUUUGUCAUGCGCUGUUACAGCUACAUUUCUUGCUCUUUAGGCCUUAAUGAUUGACAUGAUUUUUGGAGAUCAGUUGGUAUGUAGCAAAAUGCUCCUAGAAAUCUAGAAGAUGAGGCAAGAGGAAAACAUGGAGCCUUUUCUGAAUAAGCCUAUGAGAGAAGAAGAAUCACUUCAAUUUGUAACUGUGGAUUCUGGGGCUGAAUACCUUACCUAAGACCAUACAGCCAGCAAAUUACUGAGCCAGCAUAUUCUGAACCCCGGUCUUUGUUCUUUCCAAGACUUCACAGUGUCUUCCUUACAGUAUAUCCCCAUGAAAAUCAUCUUUAAAGAAGUGAUCUGUGGUGUCACCAUUUGUGUCAAAAUGGUAUCACAAACUUAUUUAAAAAGUCUUUAUCUAAAAGUCUUCCUAACACAUAUAUCUUUGGCCAGGGGAGAGCUCUAAUAUCACACACUAAUAACCCUACCUUUGUAACAUAUAAAUUGUUUUUUGUUUUACCAUCUCAGUUUCAUUAAACUGAGAC
Non-coding RNA from Callithrix jacchus (white-tufted-ear marmoset), 697 nucleotides. The record is from RefSeq and is a predicted model, not a curated record. Lineage: Eukaryota; Metazoa; Chordata; Mammalia; Primates; Cebidae.